RNAcentral lists this ribosomal RNA (497 nucleotides) under uncultured bacterium. RNAcentral's name for it is "partial 16S ribosomal RNA". It matches the Rfam family "Bacterial small subunit ribosomal RNA", at positions 28 to 507 of the family's 1533-position model. The record is from RNAcentral.
GAUGAACGCUGGCGGCGUGCCUAAUACAUGCAAGUCGAGCGAACAGACGAGGAGCUUGCUCCUCUGACGCUAGCGGCGGACGGGUAAGUAACACGUGGAUAACCUACCUAUAAGACUGGGAUAACUUCGGGAAACCGGAGCUAAUACCGGAUAAUAUAUUGAACCGCAUGGUUCAAUAGUGAAAGACGGUUUUGCUGUCACUUAUAGAUGGAUCCGCGCCGCAUUAGCUAGUUGGUAAGGUAACGGCUUACCAAGGCGACGAUGCGUAGCCGACCUGAGAGGGUGAUCGGCCACACUGGAACUGAGACACGGUCCAGACUCCUACGGGAGGCAGCAGUAGGGAAUCUUCCGCAAUGGGCGAAAGCCUGACGGAGCAACGCCGCGUGAGUGAUGAAGGUCUUCGGAUCGUAAAACUCUGUUAUUAGGGAAGAACAAAUGUGUAAGUAACUAUGCACGUCUUGACGGUACCUAAUCAGAAAGCCACGGCUAACUACGUG